This 388-nucleotide ribosomal RNA is filed under the name uncultured bacterium. RNAcentral's name for it is "bacterial SSU rRNA". It matches the Rfam family "Bacterial small subunit ribosomal RNA", at positions 29 to 418 of the family's 1533-position model. The record is from RNAcentral.
AUUGAACGCUGGCGGCAUGCCUUACACAUGCAAGUCGAACGGCAGCACGGGAGCAAUCCUGGUGGCGAGUGGCGAACGGGUGAGUAAUAUAUCGGAACGUGCCCAGUCGUGGGGAUAACGUAGCGAAAGCUACGCUAAUACCGCAUACGAUCUACGGGAUGAAAGCGGGGGAUCGCAAGACCUCGCGCGAUUGGAGCGGCCGAUAUCAGAUUAGGUAGUUGGUGAGGUAAAGGCUCACCAAGCCGACGAUCUGUAGCUGGUCUGAGAGGACGACCAGCCACACUGGGACUGAGACACGGCCCAGACUCCUACGGGAGGCAGCAGUGGGGAAUUUUGGACAAUGGGCGCAGGCCUGAUCCAGCAAUGCCGCGUGCAGGAUGAAGCUCGG